AGAUGUAAAAAGCAAGAGACAUGGGAGAUCAUCAUUCCUUUGAGAUUUUAUAACUCAAACCAACUUUGGAGUUGUCUGAUUUGGAGAGUCAUUAUUCUUGGUCUUCGCUCUUAGAGGCCACUGAUGAAGAGCAGGCGGUGACUGGGAUGAAUGCUGGUCAGAGAGGAGAAUCUUCUUUCCCCUAAACUGAUGCAGCGGUGGUUUUAAAGGAGGACACUGCCCUGGAUGAUGUAGAAGAUGUCAGAUGCUGUGCUGAUGGGGUUUCUUCAUGAUUACAUCAGUUAUGCUAAAGAGAUCAUGAAAAUUGACCGUGAUGCAUGAUCUGUAUUCAUGGACUAUGAAACAAACUGUAAGUGUAUAAUUAGUUAAAAAAAAAAAAAGUUAAAUGCUUUUUCUGUGUUGUUUAGUAGAAGAGUUUACACUCUGUCAUUCAUACACCUGCUCACAUUCUUUCACACACACACACACGCGUCUGUUAAAGGUUAUAAUUAGGGCUGCACGUUUUCAAGUUUUUCAUUAACCGUUAACCGAGGCCCUUAGCGGUUAAUACUCGGUUAACCAUAGUGUGCGCCAGGGUUUCCGUUGUCCGGUAAUUUCCGGACAUUGGCCGAAAAAAAAAGAAAAGAAAUGUCCGACAAAAUUUAAUCUCUCUGGUCAAAUUGUCCUAUUAAAACUGCCUAAUAAUCUCGCCCACUAACACAAUCUGAAUUUGAGAAUAAGCCUAAAAUGUAUAAAGCAAAUAUACACCGACCUUUGGCUAUCUUAUAAAGGAACAGGCUCUAGUAAUAGUUAUGUAACUUUCCGUGUUUAGGCGAAGGUAACAAGCAGGCUCCGCGGCCGCCUCGCUAAGGCUAUAGCACUAUUCGGACGGGACUAGUUUUCUAAACUACGUUUGAGUUUCGAUUCUUACCACCUGACGUCUGUGAUUUUCAUGUACCAAUUCGGACGGGACUAGUAUCUCCGUGUUUAUUACAGAGGUGGGAGGGUCUGAUUUGUGCAUCUGGGCGUCACAGAGAUCACGCGCUGUGUAUGCGUGCAUUGCAUUCAUUCAAAAUGAUUGCCAUUAGUAUUAUUACACAAUAAAUACUAGAUGGCUAGUAUAGCAAACCUUAUUAAUGUGUGGUUCUUUUUAGUUUAACUUGUUUUCCUUUUUUUUUUUUUUUUUUUAAUGUAACUGAGUACAUAAAUAAACGUGAGUAAUCUUACCUGAUGCUGAUAUUACAAUAGCCGGUAUUAACUGUUUAAGCGAUCUUGCUUUUGAUUUUAUUAUUUGUAUUUUUUAUUAUUAUUAUUUAUUUGCCGCUAAGCAAAUCUAUCAAACAUCCGCGCAGUAAGAGCAUCUACGGUAAUUCACGUUGGCCAAAACACACAAGGAACCGCGUUGUGAAAUAAAAUAUCACCGGCAAUCACAGACAUUCGCAUUCGGACGGGAUUAGCUUUCUCAGAGGAUCACUGAGUUUGCUGAAAAACGGUAGUAAAUUUGCUCUGGAAUUAUCACAGAGGUUGUGUGAGAAAAACACAGACGUGGCAGAUUCGGACGGGAUUAAAAUCACUAAGUACGUCUGUGAAACGGAGAUUUCUCUAACGACCCCCUGUAAAACUAGUCCCGUACGAAUAGGGCUUAUGACUAUGUUUGACAGGUACCAUAUUUGAAAAUCGAUAAAAAAAAAAUAUUUUAAUUACAUUUAUAUCUGAAUUUAUGUCAACCUAUUGACUUUCAAAUAUCAAAAUGUCAUGAAUUAAUAUGUAUUUCUGUACAAAAUGACAAACAUAUUUUCCUAUUAUAUUUUGCCUGGAAACGCUUCCAACAAGGCGUCGGUUCUAUUUCUAGCAUGCACGCGUCGAGCCGCGCCUGAGCCGCGCGUCUCACGCAGGCAGUCGGCAAGCUCUAACCUCUUAACAUGGGAGCCGAAUUAAAAACAGACACGCCACGCAGCUGAGAUGCUUUCGCCACGCAUCCAGUGUGUCCUGACCGGCCUAAUGAUGCCCGGGUGUUGGCUGUUGAGAUUACAACAACGAGGUUGUACUUGAAGUAUAUCUAAGCACUGUAUUGCGAUACUUGCAUUUUGCCCCGUCACUGUCAAUUUUAAAGUGCUCCAACGCUGUACUUUUUUUUGCCCGCUUCAUAUUAGAAAAAUGACUUCUUCUUGUGGACAUUACAAAUGUCUGGGAGCGCUCUGGCGGUCUCUGGUGGUGCAAAAAUGUAUUACAACUAAAUUCAAUGCACGCCAUUGACGUCACUUAACCGAGCAAAAUGUUUCACUCGGUUACGCAAUUUUUAACGGUUAAUCGGUUAAUCGGUUAACCAUGGACACCCCUAGUUAUAAUAUCAAAGUUAAUGUAGUGAUUUAUUUGUGUACUGUCAUGCCAGAAUAGUUGGAAAAAAAACUAACUAAUUGUAAAUUUAUUGUAUGUGUUUUCGUAUAUUUUUAUACAAUAUAUACAAUUGAACAAAGUCCAAUUUGAUCUUAAGUUAUAUUCAUCAAAUGUUCAAUGCUUUAUGAACUCUGUAGCUGUUAAUGCCAUCCUUUUCUGCAUUUUUCUUCUAACAUGUUACUUUUUGACUUUUCUCUUGUUUUUAAUAAAUAUUUUCCUUUUGGUAAUUAUUAUUUGUGUGUAAAAGUGAUAUUUAAAAUGAACAACAUUUGUAGGUUUAAUGCCUAGCUCAAUUUGGGUUGAUUUUAACGUAGAAAUGCAUUGUUUCCCCACAUGGCUGCACUCUGCGAGUUUAUUUUCUGCCAGCAGGAGGCGCUAAGAGCGGGAGAGGUAGGUUUCUCCGGUAACGGCUGCAGAGCGGUGCUGAGCUCACAAACGCUGCCUUAUCAAGCAUAUGCGAAAUGAUAUCGAACAUUUUCUAAAUACAGUAGUUUUCCUUCUGAAAUACAGUGAUAAAAAAACACCCGCUCUGGUUUUUGAAACCCUGCAAUAUAGUCAUUUUAAACCAUAAAAAAGGCAACCCAGCAGGCUGGGUUAAAUAUGAUAACCCAACUGGUUGGGUUAAAACAACCCAGCGCUGGGUUCGUCCCUUUUUGACCCAGCGCUGGGUUGUCAAAAUAACCCAAAUUGGGUUGUUUUCAA
Molecule: long non-coding RNA, 3078 nt
Organism: Carassius gibelio (silver crucian carp)
Lineage: Eukaryota; Metazoa; Chordata; Actinopteri; Cypriniformes; Cyprinidae
Exons: 3
Source: RefSeq, a predicted model, not a curated record